This 503-nucleotide ribosomal RNA is filed under the name uncultured bacterium. RNAcentral's name for it is "partial 16S ribosomal RNA". It matches the Rfam family "Bacterial small subunit ribosomal RNA", at positions 29 to 523 of the family's 1533-position model. The record is from RNAcentral.
AACGAACGCUGGCGGCGUGUUUAAGACAUGCAAGUCGCACGGGAUAAGACAUGUAGUAAUACUUGUUUUAUUUAGUGGCGCACGGGUGAGUAACACGUGAAUUACAUGCCCUAUAGUGGGGAAUAGCCCAGGGAAACUUGGAUUAAUACCCCAUGGUAUCGAAAGAUUAAAUGUGGCCGCAAGGCUGUCGCUAUAGGAUUGGUUCGCGCCCUAUCAGCUUGUUGGUGAGGUAACGGCUCACCAAGGCAAUGACGGGUACCUGGUCUGAGAGGACGAUCAGGCACACUGGAACUGAGACACGGUCCAGACACCUACGGGUGGCAGCAGUCGAGAAUAAUUCACAAUGGGGGCAACCCUGAUGGUGCAACGCCGCGUGGAGGAUGACGGUCUUCGGAUUGUAAACUCCUGUCAUCUGGGAGAAAGACCUGACGGUAAAUAGCCGGCAGGGUUGGUAGUACCAGAAGAGGAAGGGACGGCUAACUUCGUGCCAGCCGCCGCUGUAA